This 447-nucleotide ribosomal RNA is filed under the name uncultured bacterium. RNAcentral's name for it is "partial 16S ribosomal RNA". It matches the Rfam family "Bacterial small subunit ribosomal RNA", at positions 29 to 523 of the family's 1533-position model. The record is from RNAcentral.
AGCGAACGCUGGCGGCAGGCUUAACACAUGCAAGUCGAACGCCCCGCAAGGGGAGUGGCAGACGGGUGAGUAACACGUGGGAACGUACCCUUUGGUUCGGAAUAACUUGGGGAAACUCAAGCUAAUACCGGAUAAGCCCUUAUGGGGAAAGGUUUACUGCCGAAGGAUCGGCCCGCGUCUGUUUAGCGAGUUGGUGAGGUAAUGGCUCACAAAGGCGACGAUCAGUAGCUGGUCUGAGAGGAUGAUCAGCCACACUGGGACUGAGACACGGCCCAGACUCCUACGGGAGGCAGCAGUGGGGAAUAUUGGACAAUGGGGGCAACCCUGAUCCAGCCAUGCCGCGUGAGUGAUGAAGGCCUUAGGGUUGUAAAGCUCUUUUACCCGGGACGAUAAUGACUGUACCGGGAGAAUAAGCCCCGGCUAACUUCGUGCCAGCAGCCGCCGUAA